UGUCAUCUUCACUCACGAAGCACACACAAGACCGCCAAGCAUUAAGAUUCUCCUGUGGAGCCAGGCUACAAUCCUUUAAAUGAAGACAGACAGCUAGGUGGCUGCAGCCCAGCGCUACACCUCACCCCUCCCUCAGUGUCAUGCAGAAAAAAUGUAUUCAGAACUCAGAAGUGAAGUUGUGCAAAUCCAUCAUUGACACUAGCUUCAAGGUUACCUCGGGGGAGCAGAAUGUACCCCUGCCAGAGAGCUGGAUAGAUGAUGAU
This 263-nucleotide long non-coding RNA is filed under the name Homo sapiens (human). RNAcentral describes it as "non-protein coding LINC00922:8". Lineage: Eukaryota; Metazoa; Chordata; Mammalia; Primates; Hominidae. The record is from RNAcentral.